Molecule: ribosomal RNA, 501 nt
Filed under: uncultured bacterium
Lineage: Bacteria
Description: bacterial SSU rRNA
Rfam family: Bacterial small subunit ribosomal RNA
Source: RNAcentral
AUGGCUCGGGAUGAACGCUGGCGGCGUGCGUUAACACAUGCAAGUCGAACGAGGGUACCGGUUGAAAUUUCGAAUGGAACGGGUAAUUCCUAGUGGCGGACGGGUGAGUAACGGCGUGGGGAACCUGCCCCAUUCCGGGGGAUACCAGUUGGAAACGACUGUUAAUACCGCAUAAGCGCACGAGUACUGCAUGGUACGGUGUGAAAAACCACGGUGGAAUGGGAUGGCCCCGCGUCUGAUUAGCCAGUUGGCAGGGUAACGGCCUACCAAAGCGACGAUCAGUAGCCGGCCUGAGAGGGCGACCGGCCACAUUGGGACUGAGACACGGCCCAAACUCCUACGGGAGGCAGCAGUGAGGAAUAUUGCACAAUGGGGGGAACCCUGAUGCAGCGAACCGCCGCGUGAGUGAAGAAGUAUUUCGGUAUGUAAAGCUCUAUCAGCAGGGAAGAAGAUGACGGUACCUGCACAAGAAGCCCCGGCUAACUACGUGCCAGCAGCAGC